GUAGGUGGCAAGCGUUGUCCGGAAUUAUUGGGCGUAAAGCGCGCGCAGGUGGUUCUUUAAGUCUGAUGUGAAAGCCCCCGGGCUCAACCGGGGAGGGUCAUUGGAAACUGGGGAACUUGAGUGCAGGAGAGGAAAGUGGAAUUCCACGUGUAGCGGUGAAAUGCGUAGAUAUGUGGAGGAACACCAGAGGCGAAGGCGACUUUCUGGCCUGUAACUGACACUGAGGCGCGAAAGCGUGGGGAGCAAACAGGAUUAGAUACCCUGGUAGUCCACGCCGUAAACGAUGAGUGCUAAGUGUUGGGGGGUUUCCGCCCCUCAGUGCUGCAGCUAACGCAUUAAGCACUCCGCCUGGGGAGUACGGUCGCAAAGACUG
Molecule: ribosomal RNA, 373 nt
Filed under: uncultured organism
Description: partial 16S ribosomal RNA
Rfam family: Bacterial small subunit ribosomal RNA
Source: RNAcentral